GAUGAACGCUGGCGGCGUGCCUAAUACAUGCAAGUCGAGCGAACGGACGAGAAGCUUGCUUCUCUGAUGUUAGCGGCGGACGGGUGAGUAACACGUGGAUAACCUACCUAUAAGACUGGGAUAACUUCGGGAAAACGGAGCUAAUACCGGAUAAUAUUUUGAACCGCAUGGUUCAAAAGUGAAAGACGGUCUUGCUGUCACUUAUAGAUGGAUCCGCGCUGCAUUAGCUAGUUGGUAAGGUAACGGCUUACCAAGGCAACGAUGCAUAGCCGACCUGAGAGGGUGAUCGGCCACACUGGAACUGAGACACGGUCCAGACUCCUACGGGAGGCAGCAGUAGGGAAUCUUCCGCAAUGGGCGAAAGCCUGACGGUGCAACGCCGCGUGAGUGAUGAAGGUCUUCGGAUCGUAAAGCUCUGUUAUUAGGGAAGAACAUAUGUGUAAGUAACUGUGCACAUCUUGACGGUACCUAAUCAGAAAGCCACGGCUAACUACGUG
This 497-nucleotide ribosomal RNA is filed under the name uncultured bacterium. RNAcentral describes it as "partial 16S ribosomal RNA". It matches the Rfam family "Bacterial small subunit ribosomal RNA", at positions 28 to 507 of the family's 1533-position model. The record is from RNAcentral.